RNAcentral lists this ribosomal RNA (467 nucleotides) under uncultured bacterium. RNAcentral describes it as "partial 16S ribosomal RNA". It matches the Rfam family "Bacterial small subunit ribosomal RNA", at positions 29 to 507 of the family's 1533-position model. The record is from RNAcentral.
ACGCACGCUGGCGGCGUGCUUCACACAUGCAAGUCGAACGGAAAGGCCCUGCUUUUGUGGGGUGCUCGAGUGGCGAACGGGUGAGUAACACGUGAGUAACCUGCCCUUGACUUUGGGAUAACUUCAGGAAACUGGGGCUAAUACCGGAUAGGAGCUCCUGCUGCAUGGUGGGGGUUGGAAAGUUUCGGCGGUUGGGGAUGGACUCGCGGCUUAUCAGCUUGUUGGUGGGGUAGUGGCUUACCAAGGCUUUGACGGGUAGCCGGCCUGAGAGGGUGACCGGCCACAUUGGGACUGAGAUACGGCCCAGACGCCUAAGGGAGGCAGCAGUGGGGAAUAUUGCACAAUGGACGGAAGACUGAUGCAGCAACGCCGCGUGCGGGAUGACGGCCUUCGGGUUGUAAACCGCUUUCGCCUGUGACGAAGCGUGAGUGACGGUAAUGUGUAAAGAAGCACCGGCUAACUACGUG